CUGCACAAACGUAGAAAAGGCUAUGCUAAAAUUUAUUGAAAUACCGUAGCCUUAAGCGACAGUGCAAAGAGAAAACGCUGAGUUAACUCAGCGGCGGCCAGACAACCGCUGAGAUGAAUCCACAGAUGAGUUCCAUUUUACAAUCCUACUUGUCUACUAAUUUCAUCUCACAAUU
Molecule: small nucleolar RNA, 175 nt
Filed under: Capsicum baccatum
Lineage: Eukaryota; Viridiplantae; Streptophyta; Magnoliopsida; Solanales; Solanaceae
Description: small nucleolar RNA snoR143
Rfam family: small nucleolar RNA snoR143
Source: Rfam by way of RNAcentral